GAACGCACCUUGCGCCCCUUGGAUAUUCCGAGGAGCAUGCCUGUUUGAGUGUCAUUGAAUUCUCAACCGUCCUUUGAUUUAUUUCGAGGGAUGGCUUGGAUUUUGGGAGUUGCUGGCUGACCCUCGGGACGGUCGGCUCUCCUUAAAAGCAUUAGCGAAAGGUGACAAGCCCUGCAUGCACGGCCUUCGACGUGAUAAUGAUCGUCGUGGCUGGAGUGUGAGGCGUAGAUAGUCCAUUUUUUGCUUCCAAAAACAUCGGUAUUUUGGGGAGUUUGCUUCGGCGGACGAACCUUUUUGCCCUUUUUGACGCUUGACCUCAAAUCAGGUAGGACUACCCGCUGAACUUAAG
RNAcentral lists this unclassified non-coding RNA (349 nucleotides) under Melanogaster luteus. Its description in RNAcentral is "sequence contains 5.8S rRNA gene". The record is from RNAcentral. Lineage: Eukaryota; Fungi; Basidiomycota; Agaricomycetes; Boletales; Melanogastraceae.